CAGAAGGGAGCUUGCUCCCGGAUGUUAGCGGCGGACGGGUGAGUAACACGUGGGUAACCUGCCUGUAAGACUGGGAUAACUCCGGGAAACCGGAGCUAAUACCGGAUAGUUCCUUGAACCGCAUGGUUCAAGGAUGAAAGACGGUUUCGGCUGUCACUUACAGAUGGACCCGCGGCGCAUUAGCUAGUUGGUGGGGUAAUGGCUCACCAAGGCGACGAUGCGUAGCCGACCUGAGAGGGUGAUCGGCCACACUGGGACUGAGACACGGCCCAGACUCCUACGGGAGGCAGCAGUAGGGAAUCUUCCGCAAUGGACGAAAGUCUGACGGAGCAACGCCGCGUGAGUGAUGAAGGUUUUCGGAUCGUAAAGCUCUGUUGUUAGGGAAGAACAAGUGCGAGAGUAACUGCUCGCACCUUGACGGUACCUAACCAGAAAGCCACGGCUAACUACGUGCCAGCAGCCGCGGUAAUACGUAGGUGGCAAGCGUUGUCCGGAAUUAUUGGGCGUAAAGGGCUCGCAGGCGGUUUCUUAAGUCUGAUGUGAAAGCCCCCGGCUCAACCGGGGAGGGUCAUUGGAAACUGGGAAACUUGAGUGCAGAAGAGGAGAGUGGAAUUCCACGUGUAGCGGUGAAAUGCGUAGAGAUGUGGAGGAACACCAGUGGCGAAGGCGACUCUCUGGUCUGUAACUGACGCUGAGGAGCGAAAGCGUGGGGAGCGAACAGGAUUAGAUACCCUGGUAGUCCACGCCGUAAACGAUGAGUGCUAAGUGUUAGGGGGUUUCCGCCCCUUAGUGCUGCAGCUAACGCAUUAAGCAC
This 814-nucleotide ribosomal RNA is filed under the name Bacillus sp. NCCP-1122. RNAcentral's name for it is "bacterial SSU rRNA". It matches the Rfam family "Bacterial small subunit ribosomal RNA", at positions 69 to 867 of the family's 1533-position model. Lineage: Bacteria; Bacillati; Bacillota; Bacilli; Caryophanales; Bacillaceae. The record is from RNAcentral.